UGCAAUUGAAUAUUACUAACAUUUUUUGUGGAACACAAGUCUUUUUGUGGUGCCUGAAUUCCUUAUUGUUCAGUUCGUCAAAGUUUUUGAAGCAUUUUGGGCACACAUUGGCUCCUCGCUUGUUAUUAUGGUUAUUAUUGAACACCAUCUAGCACAAAAUUAAAAUAGGUUAAAUACAUAAAUUUACUGCAUAUUCCAAGACUGU
Molecule: long non-coding RNA, 205 nt
Filed under: Erythranthe guttata (spotted monkey flower)
Lineage: Eukaryota; Viridiplantae; Streptophyta; Magnoliopsida; Lamiales; Phrymaceae
Description: long non-coding RNA (EGUT_LNC003621)
Source: RNAcentral